CCUACGGGAGGCAGCAGUGAGGAAUAUUCCACAAUGGGGGAAACCCUGAUGGAGCGAUGCCGCGUGCAGGAAGACGCUUUUCGGAGUGUAAACUGCUUUUAACAGGGAAGAUUAUGACGGUACCUGUAGAAUAAGGACCGGCUAACUACGUGCCAGCAGCCGCGGUAAUACGUAGGGUCCAAGCGUUAUUCGGAAUUACUGGGCGUAAAGCGUUCGUAGGCGGUUUGGUAAGUUGGAUGUGAAAUCCUGUGGCUCAACCACAUGGACUGUGUCCAAAACUACCUGACUGGAGCAUAGUAGAGGCAAGUGGAAUUUGCGGUGUAGGAGUGACAUCCGUAGAUAUCGCAAGGAACACCAAUGGCGAAGGCAGCUUGCUGGGCUAUUGCUGACGCUGAGGAACGAAGGCGUGGGGAGCGAACGGGGAUUAGAUACCCCGGUAGUCCACGCCGUAAACGAUGAUCACUAGCAGUAUGAGAUCGACCUCUGUGUUGUCACAGCUACGUACGUUAGUAGUAUCCGCCGUGGGAGGUACGGGCGGCGAGACGUUAAACUAACUAAAUAGUUAAGUUAGUACGGCGUUGAGACGNGCCGACGGACGACGACGAGGGAGGAGG
RNAcentral lists this ribosomal RNA (614 nucleotides) under uncultured bacterium. RNAcentral's name for it is "bacterial SSU rRNA". The stretch from base 1 to 521 matches the Rfam family "Bacterial small subunit ribosomal RNA", at positions 338 to 873 of the family's 1533-position model. The record is from RNAcentral.